Molecule: ribosomal RNA, 253 nt
Filed under: uncultured bacterium
Lineage: Bacteria
Description: partial 16S ribosomal RNA
Rfam family: Bacterial small subunit ribosomal RNA
Source: RNAcentral
UACGUAGGGGGCAAGCGUUAUCCGGAUUUACUGGGUGUAAAGGGAGCGUAGACGGCAGGGCAAGUCUGGAGUGAAAGGCAGGGGCCCAACCCCUGGACUGCUCUGGAAACUGUCCGGCUGGAGUGCAGGAGAGGUAAGUGGAAUUCCUAGUGUAGCGGUGAAAUGCGUAGAUAUUAGGAGGAACACCAGUGGCGAAGGCGGCUUGCUGGACGAUGACUGACGUUGAGGCUCGAAAGCGUGGGGAGCAAACAGG